This 17533-nucleotide long non-coding RNA is filed under the name Brassica napus (rape). RNAcentral describes it as "long non-coding RNA (BNAP_LNC003862)". Lineage: Eukaryota; Viridiplantae; Streptophyta; Magnoliopsida; Brassicales; Brassicaceae. The record is from RNAcentral.
UUUUUAUCAGUUUCCUCUUUAUUCUAUAAAAUCAAUCGAUCAUAUUCUAGUGGUUACGAACGUUAUUGCCCCGUUAUCUAAAAUUGUGACUUAUAUUAAACAUCUCCGAUUUUUAAAAAUAUAGAUUUUAAAAAUAUAAUUCGAAUCAUAACUUGAUAAACUAUAUACUUUAUUUCACAUUGAUUUAUAUGACUCAUGCAUACAUAAUAUUUUCUAGAAAAUUAAACAAAUGAAUGUCAUAAUAAUGGAGACCCUUUUUUUAUUUAAAGAGUUGUUUGGAGGUAAAGUAAGUUUUUUAGUAACUUGAGGUUAAGUUCAAAAAAAAAAAAAAUGGAGACCCUGUCAUGACAUGACUCAUGACUCCAUUGCUCAUAGUCACUACUCAUCACUUAAGUGACAAACCCUAACUUCUUUCUUGUACAGUCACUAAAAAUGGCUUUUGCGAAAACGACCCCUCAUUUAGUAUGCAAUUUCGUUUCCAGCCACUUUUGUUUGUUAAUCAUCGCUUAUCAUCACCUUUUGUUUGUUUUAAAGCAAUCUUCUCCAUGUCGAUGAAAGACCCAUAUCGUGUGAACACCUUUUACAUUCGACGGCUAGCCGAAAUUUAUAAAGAUUUAAAACCAUAAUUAUAUGUAGCUGUAUCAUGUAUUUUAAUGUUCAUGAUAGUGUGGAAUAUUCGACCGACCGUAUUAAACUACUUUUGAAAGUUUUAAUACUAAAGACUAUGUAGGCUGGCGAGUUUUGGUUUUAUUUCCGAAUUUACCUCACGACUUGUGUGAUGUGUCGACCAAGGUCAGUGCCGAACUGCCGAUCCGACAAUCUCAUGUGAGUUCAAUUAUUUAUUAAUUCAAGUUUAACAUAACUAAUGGUCUCAAGUUGUGAGAAAAAAAGUUAAAAAGAUUGUGGGUUAGGUUAUGGACGUAAAGUUAUUAAUUUACAAUGAUUGAUUAAGGGAGAUUAGGUACGUGUUACUGGCUGUUAAUCAUGGUUACAUGUUAUUUUUAGGUCACCUACCGACCCUGGAGAAGAUUACACACGUAGUCGUCUUGUGUUUGGGCCUAUUGUUCGUAUCUGAGGUUUAUUUGACUGGGUUUUUGGGGCCAGUAUAUUGGGGUGUUUUUCAAAACCAACCCAUAUUUUCAAGUCAAACCCAAAACCAACCCUUUUUUUUUUUGUCCAUACUAUUCAUCAAUAAAAUUUCCAUAUUAUCCUUAUAUUUUUGAAUUAUUCACAAAAUUGCCAUUUUAUUUAUUUUUUUUAUUAAUUUCGAAAUUAACAAAAAACCAAAUACACCCUAACCAUUUCUUCUUAUUUACAAAAAUGCCAUCAUCAUCAAUUUUUCCAACCACCAUGAACCACCAUUUUUGAGCUCUAAAGCUCUAAAAUUGAAUUUUCAACCACUUUUUUUUCUCAUUAUAACCCAAAAAACUUCAUUUCUUCUCAUCUCCUCUACAUUUCCAUCUAAAAAACUCUCAUAACUAUCAUUUUCAUAAUCAUAAACUUCAUAUUUUCGAGUUUCUUCAUUAGUGAAUCGUUAAAGAUGCUUCUUUUUGCUCAUAUUUGGAGUUUGGACGGUUGAAAAGGUUGGAAACGAGCUUUACACAUGAAAAAGGUAACUAUUUACAUGGUUUUCGUUCUUUUUCAGAUCUGUGUCGCGACGGUAGACUGUUUUGUAUGUCUACGCCUCCGUAGAGACUUACGAUGCAGUCUAUUUGUCAACGCACGGGUUAGUUUUGCAAUUGACCAGACAAUUUUUUUUUCUAACGCAGACUUCCCCAGUAGUCUCCGUCUUUACCUUUGACAACAAAAAUAAAAUUUUUCGGUAGACUUACUAAGACGUCUACCUAAAAGAGGUUAGUUUUUCAUUUGACCGAACUUUUGACUUUUCAAAAUACACUUCAACGGAAGUCUACAAAAUGUAGACUGCCACCGAAGUCUAUAAAAGGUCAGUUUUGCAUUUGACCAAAACUUUGACUUCGUGGAAUAGGUUAGUUUUGUGUUUGACCAAAAAGUUUAAAAAGCAAUAAAAAAUUUAUUAAAUUGUAGACUUCAUAUGCAGUCUUCUUAUCUUAAAAAAAAAUGUAGACUGCGUAUAAAGUCUACUUUUUUAUUUUGGUCAAAUGCAAAACCAACCCGUCGGAUUUGAGAGUGGACUUCACAAGAAGUCUACACACCCGUAGACGUUCAUUUUAAUCUACUGAUUUGAAGUCAAACUUGGUCAAUUGCAAAACUAACCUCUUUCAAAAAAAUUCAAACAUGUAGACUGCAUAUGAAGUCUAGUUCUGAAAGUCAAAUCUUGGAUGAAUUCUGGUCAAUUGCAAAAAGUAACCUUUUUAAAUUGUAGACUGAAAUGAAAGUCUACAUGUACAAAAUCACAACUUUUAUUCAACUAUAGAAAGCAACCCGUAAAAUGGUCAAUUGCAAAAACCAACCCAAAGAGUAGACCUAUUUGACAGUCUACGUCUGUAAACUGAAAAGAACGUCUACAUCUUCAGAGACUGAAUAUUAAGUCUGCAUAGAAAAAUCUAUAAAAAUGUGAAUUUGUGUAUUAUUCAUUAAAUGUUUUCUAUUUUUUUGUUUGACAGUGUGUGUUAGUUAAUCCUAAUGGGUUUGAGUGAUUUUGAAAAGAAUUUUUUUAAUAAUUAUGAAGGUAUAAUUCAUUUAAUUUGACAAUGUUGUUAGCUAAUAAUUGUAUACGUAUUUGUAAGUCUUCGUUUAUAGUUUUGCUAAUAAGGUUGAACUUGUUUUAAAGCUGAAGUCGGUGACUGUGGAAUAUAAAUUUACAUUCUCAGCAUAUAAGACAACGAAAACUCUGUAUGUGGCUAAGUGUCGUGUUCAAGGAUGUGGUUGGAAACUUAGAGCGAGUGUGAAGCAUGGGUCAAAGACAUUUUGGGUGACAAAAUAUUCGAAAAGGAUGAAGAAUCGGAAAGGUUGAAGAAUGUUCCUUGUGCAUGAUGGCUGUACACAUGGUAAACUUCUUGAAAUGACACAAGAAGAUUAUGAUCUGGACAACAAAAUUGAGAAGAUUGUGCUAACCUAUUCCUUACCAAACAUCAUUUAAAACAAAUGACUCCGAAUAGGAAAAUACUCCUCUUAUGCCAGUCACGAAUAAUCGACAAGUACGGAACUCGAUCGAGUUAUCUAAAACACACUUUGUACGCCUUUGUGUAUCAUGUCUGCGCCAAAUACACUAAUUUUUUUUGGAUUGACUAUAUUUUAGAUAAUAAGUGUAGACGUUUUUGUAAAUCUACAAAUGUAGACUGCAGUUGAAGUCUACGUCGUAAAUUCUAUUAAAAGUGUAUUUGUGUAUUAUUCAUCAUAUUUUUUCAUGAUUUAAUUAUUUUACAGUGUAUGUUAGUAAAAUUUUAAUGGUCUUGGAUGAAUUUCACAAUUUAAUGUGUUAUAAUUAUACACUUGAUACUUAUUGCAAAUUGUUUUGAUUAGUGUUAUUCUUGAAAAAUUUUGGGAAAAUUUUGUAUAGAUUUUCUUCUUCUCACAUGUAUGUUAGUUUUUAUUUUAGCUUAUGGUGGUUUUACUUGUUUGGUUGGUUAGAUCUUGUGAAAAAUUGAUAUCUAACAAAAAAUUAAUAAUAUCAUACAAGUGAAAACAACUAAAAAUGAAUACAAUGUUUAUAGAUUAUGCAUUAAAAAAUUAUUUAAAAAUUAAUAUUUUAUUAUGAAAGUUAUUACAAAGCAAUAAUAUUAAAAAGUAUUAUUGAGUAUGUUUGAUUUUUCAUAAUCUUGAUGCUUCAAAUAAAGUCUUGGAAAAAGUACCUGCAAAAUAAGAUAGAGUUAUGAGAAAAACAUAAGAUAAAAAAUGAAAUCAUAUUUUAGUAGACCUUUUAUUAAGUCUACGUAAAGUUAUUGUUUAGUAGACUUUAGUUGAAGUCUAUACUAAUGGAAAAUUUUCAUAUCCAAAAGUGUGCAUUUAGAAAAUUUGAAAAUACUUUGUUCUGGAAAAUAUUUCAAAAAUGGUUUUUUGUCAUCCUUGUAACAAAGCAAAAAGAUAAUGUAUGAAUCUAUAAAUUUAGUUCAUUAUAAACACAAAAUAUCUUAUAAUGAAUAUAUGGAAAGCUUACAUUUUUGGGAAGAUGAUUUGAAAACAUUGGAAGAGAAUACCUGCAAAAUAAAAUAAAAUUAUGAAAAAUAAGAUAAAAAUUAAAAUCAUAUUUGAGUAACUUCUAAUGAAAUAUGCUUAAAAGUCAAGGCUAGUAGACUUCGUUUGAAGUCUACCAGCCAUAAGUUUUAAGUAGAUUUCAAAUGAAGUCUACUCUAUAAAAAAAUAGAUCUGAAAAAUAAAUAAACUAAAAAUAUGAAAUAAGUUUAAAUCUAAAAAACUUUUAAAAAUAUGAUUUAGUAGACAAAAUAGUUAUAAAUUAAAGACAUAUUAAUAUGAAUUUUAAUAUGUAACUUUAUUUGAAUAUAAAUACUAGAACACAUAUUUUAAAUCUAUAGAUGUAAACCUUACAUUUCUAGGAGGAGAAGAGAACAACUAUGGAAGAAAAUACUUGCAAGAUAAGAUAAAAUUAUUAAAAAACAUAGAAAAAAAAUUAAAGUCAUAUUUUUGUAGACUUCCAAUGAAGUAUGCUUAAACUUUGUGGUUUAGUAAACUUCAUAUGAAGUCUGCAAGCUUUAGUAAACUUCUUUAGAAGUCUACACUGUCUGGUAAUUUUCAGAUCUGAAAAAAUCUAUAUAUUUUGAAAUGUGAAAAUAAUUUUAAAUCUGAAAAUACUUUACAUAAUAGAAUUUAUAAGGUAAACUAGUAGCAAAUUAAUGUAGAGAGCUUGAUCUAUAAAUUUAUUUGAAUAUAAACAUAUAAAUACAUAUUUAAAAUCUAUUAGUCUAAAACUUACAUUUUUAGAGGAGAUGAUGAAAUCCAUGAGUGCUAAUACCUACCAAAAAAGAUAAUAUUGUGAGAAAUAAACAUAAAAAUUCACAUUUAAAAUCUAUAGAUCUAAAACUUACAUUUUUUAAAGGAGAAGAUGAAAACCAUGAAUCAUAAUAUCUAAAAUGACAAGAUAAUAUUGUGAGAAAGACUUGAGAAAAUUUUAGAGAGAAAGAAGAUAAUGAGAGAGAUUUGGAAACAAUUGAGAGAAUUUUAGAGAGAAGAGAGAAAGUUUUAGAGAGAAGGGAGAGAGUUUUAAGAACUUGUGCAGCCACUUUAGAGAGAGAUUGUAUAAAUUUUGUUUAUAUAGGGAGACACAAAUGUAACUAGGUUAAAAUUUACGAUACUGUAGACUUCGUUUGAAGUCUACUAAAAUUAAAAUUUUGGAGUAGAUCUUACUAUAACAUAGUAGACCUUUUUGGAAGUCUACUAUAAUAAUUUAAUUAUUGUUAUUUAUUCUUUAUUAUUUUAGUAAUUUUAAUAUAUGAUUUAUUAAAUUUAUUUCUUUAUUUUUUAAUAGUUAUAGUAUAUGAUUUCACUUUUUUAUUCGUAAGGAACUUAACUUAGUUUAAAUAUAAUGAUUUUUUGUAAAACAAAUUGAAAAAUAUAGACUGAAAAAGACGUCUUCAGAUAAAUAGACUUUAUUGUAGGUCUACGAAACCCUAAACCACAAAUCUCAAACCCUAAAUGUUUUGCUUGAUAAUCAAAAAGUCUCAUUUAUACAAAAUAUAAACUACUAAACAUUAGUAUGCAGAUUUAAGUUAAUAAAACAAAAAAAAAACAAAAUCUAAAAUCUAACCCUAUGAAAUCAACUACUAAAAGACAUAACAUGUUAGAACCUUUUGUUUCUAAACUAUGAACAUAGUCUAACACAUGAUAACUAAAUUAGUAUAUAUUCUUCAAAAUUGUUCGAUUAUAUGAAAUUUUAAUUUAUUUACUUCAUAUUAUCCAUUAUAUUGAUGAUUAGUUAAAAAUAUCACAAUAAUUAUUUUUAUACAUUUUCAAAAUUAAAUUAUUAGAUCAAAUUAGAGUGUAGACUACAAAACAAGUCUAUAAAGUAGACUUCGUAGGAAGUCUAUAUAUAUGUAGACUUCUUUUAUUACAUGUAGACUUGCAAAGGAUAGAAACGUAAAAUACAUUUCUGUUUUUUGUUUGGUCAUAAGGGUUAAAUAGUACUUUCAUUACUCCUUUAGGUUGGUUUUGCAUUUGACUGAAAGUGGAGUAUACUUUUACAUUUGACUUGAAUAUUUGGGUUAGUUUUAGCAAAUGUCCCAGUAUAUUGCAUAACUGGAUGGUAGGAUGUUUUUUUCAAUAAUGAACCUAAAGGAGUUAUUGGUAACUUAAUUUGUAUUUUAACAGAAAAAUGUAAGGUUAAAUUUAUUAUAAGUCAUAUAUUUUUAGUUAAGGUUAUGUCAUAUGCUUUUAGGAUUUAUUUCAUAUCACUGAUUGAAAUUUUUAUUAUACUAAUAUAGUAUUGAGAUAAAGAGUCUCUUACAUUAUUUCAUAAACACAAAACUUUCAGUAUAUUAUAUUUUUAGAUUUUUUAGUUUUUAUAAGUAAACAAAAAAUGAAUUUUCCAAAAUAUAUGAAAAACCAUAUUAAGAAAUAAAAAUUUCUUAAAUGUCUUGAAUAUAUGUUGGUGUGUACAUUUUUGUUUGGUUCUUCAAAUUCUCACUUGUGAUGUGUGACCUAUUUUCCAUGUUAGGUUAAAAAGAAAAUUGCAUCUUAGCUGUAGUGAUACAAAUAAUAUAUGUUCUUUACAAAGUAAAUACUUAAAAAUAUUACAUUGAUGGGAAAACUCUCUUCAUCUUUUCCAUCUUCUCAUAAUGCUCAAUACCAAAAUUUUGAUUGCAAUUAAAAAAAUAUGAUGAUUGCUUUCAGCUUCUAGGGCAAUCACGUACAAGAUCACCGGUCAUGGUGACCUUUCACAUUCUCCUGGACCUGUGCAUCAUGGACAUAAACAAUGGUAAUGUUAAACAUUAACAAAAGGAGCUGUACAAUAAUCUAAAGAAAGUUAUAUUCACCUGAAUUCCUUAGCCAUGGGUUGAAGCACAUGUGUUCUUUUCUCCAUGAGCUUUGGUUCCUUCAUAAACCUCUUGUUUGCACGUGCUCUGGAUUCACGAAUCUCAUGCGCAACAUGAUCUCUUCUCUCUUUCUCCAAAUUCUUAUCAUCUUCAUCGUCCUUCGUACAAAGCUGAGAGAGAAGCACCACCAUGAGAUUUACAUCCACCAAAGAAGCAGCUGCUUCAUCUUCUCUUCUCUCCUCCUCCUGAUCGUGUUUAGCUUCACGAGAUGAAUCCAUAACCCGAAAAGAAGUCAAACAGAAAGAAUACAGUUAUUUUGGAACUUUUCGUCCCAAGGAUUAGCCGUCUUUAGGACAAAAGACUUCUCUCUUUAUGUGGCUUAUUAUAGUAAGUAACUAAGUUAAUGAUAUAUGGCUACACAACUACAUGAAUCAAUUUGCAGUUUUAUUGUGUGGCUAUUGUAUUUUUUCCCCUUGGAGAUUUGAUGGAAGAGAAGUAAAGCUUCUAAAAUUUGUUAGACAACAGACCGGUGAGCAACUAGCGAUUAGAACCGAAUGUUUUUUUUACAGAGCUGAUCAUGAGCCAAAAAGUUCAUAAAGUACUACUUUUAGAUGCCAAAACUUAUAUAAAAUUUUGAAAAUAGAAAACUUUAUAAUUUAGCACCAAAGCCUUAUAGUAUUAUCAUUGUAAGUAUAAUUAAUGUUCAUUAUCAUGCAGUCAACUACAUAACGCCGUGCACCAAAUUUCAACAAGAAAAAAACUACGUAACGCCGUACAUGCUUUCUCAACAUACAUGUACGUUUUAAAUGGAGGUUUAAGGCAGAUUUGAUGGAGGAUUGAUUGAACAGACGUGAACCGAUAAACGGAAGAAGUGGAAAGGAUAGAAGGAAUCAGAUCGUUGUCUGCGCAAGAGAAGAAGAAGCUAGAGAUCGUCGAGACGGCUAGAGGAAGGUCCUCUCUGUUUUGCGUAAAGUAACGGGUUUGCGGGCCAACUCUGUAUCAAAAUAAACAUCGAGGCCCAAUCGAUUCCGACGUGGAAGAAACACGCGACGCCAUUGGCUAAAUAUUUUAUCCGACGUGAAUGGUCUAAACGAUGAGGAUAUCCUCCUUUUACUUAUUGUAUGAUUACAACCAAAACUUUUCGAAGAUAUUUUUUUCUUUGCAAGUAAAACUUUCGUAGAGAUCAUCAUUCUUUUAACCUUCUCUCUUCUUUUCUGCUAGAUUAAAAUUUGGGAAAAUGGUCAUUUAAAUCCUCAUUUAAAAAAAAACAUGAAUUUGUCCUUAAAUCAUUUAAAGCACCAAUUUAUCUUAAAUAACCAAUUUAAACCUCAACUUAAUUUGACUAAACCAAAUUUACUUCGUGUAAGGGACUGAUUUAACAGAGUUAACCACCGUUUCCAAUUUUCGUUAAAUCUCUCAAAAUUACGUCGUUUUGAUUUUAAAAAAAAAAAAUUAAAUUUGAAAGGAACUGAAUUCAUGACCAAAGCUACACUCGUUGUAAUCUCAAACCACUAGACCACUUACAAUUUUAUUAGCUUGAAUAAAUACCAAUAGAUAUUAUUCUUCUUGUCCAAAUCUGUUUAGUUUUCUCCUCCUCCUUUUCCGUGAAAGCUCACAAUUUAAUCAGUUAAAACUUUUCUUCUCAACAAUAAGUGUAGCUUUGGUCAUGGAUUCAAUUAUUUUCAAAUACAUUUUUUAGAAAAAUUCUAAAACGACUUUGUUUCAGGGAUUUAACGGAAAUUGGAAACAGUGGUUAACUCUGUUAAAUCAAUCCGUUACACGAAGUAAAUUUGGUUUAGUCAAAUUAAGUUGAGGUUUAAAUUGGUUAUUCAAGAUAAAUUAGUGUUUUAAAUGGUCUAUUUAAAUGACCAUUUUCCCAUUAAAAUUUAGAUUGUAGAUAGACAAAUAUACUUUGACCAAAAAAAAAAAAAAGAUAGACAAAUAUAUAUGUAAAUUGUUAUGUUUUCCUAAAUAUAAUGGGCCAUGAGAAUGGCCUUGCUUAUAACAACGAGAAUCGACCUAUUCAUUGUCUAAACUGCCCAGAGCCCAUAAAACUAUAUUAGCCUUGGAGUAUUUAUUUAAAUUUAUUCGUCAGUAGUAUAUCGUGGCCUUGUUAAUCUCCACACCUUUCACGUGAGACCCCUCUCUCGAAAUGGAGAAUAGAUUAAGCGACGUUGACGUGUUUUAAUCUCCUCCUCUUAAACAAAUAUCCUGCCUCCAUGCAAAACAUUCUUAAUACCCUCGCCUUUUCUCGCUAUUUACCACUCUACCCCUACGACCAGCCCUAAUGCUUCCUAAAGAGGAAACCCGAGAGUGGCAUUUCCCGUAAAUAACACCGAAAACCAGCACCGUCUCUUUAGCUUAAGUCACUAAUCACACGUAAUCCCGUGUGUUGUUAGUCUCUUUAAUCACACUUGUUUAAAUAAUUGGGCAGCCAGACGAAAAAAAAUCUUUCUCUUUUUUCUCGUAAAGUAAUAUAAAAUAAUGUGGGGGAAAAUCCUCCGCCAGAAAAAAGGAAAAGCAUAUCAUUAAAAUAUGUGGCUUCAAGCCUAAAUUAAUCAUUAAAAUAAUAAUUUUAAAAAAUAUAAACGAAACGAAGAAGAAGAAGAAGGAAUGAUUCUAGUGUUGUAGAGAAGAGAGAUAUUAUUUUGUUUCUUCAAGUUCAUAGCCUCACCGAUUCGCUCUAUGAUCUGAUUGUGAAUCUCUCUCUCCGUAUCUGGUAACCGAUUUCGAUUUUCGUGUGGAUUCUCAUGAUUAGUGUUUUACGUUUUGCUGUACAAUCGUUCGUGUGGUAGCUGCUAGAGAUUUAGGUUAUGAUACGUUUUUGAAUUUGAACAUGCAAUUGAUUUCGAUUGUUGAUGAUUAGGUGAUGAGUGUGUGUGGAUGAAUGUUAUGGAAAGAGUGGGUGAAGAAACAGUAGGGAGUAACAACGUGCAAUUGAAAGGAGGAAGAGUUGAUGAUGUUCCUUGCACUACGCUUCAUACUGAAUCAGAUGCUGGGAGGAGCGAUUGUCCUGGAAGCUCAGCUCCUCCAGGGGAUAAGAUCUCCGUUGAAGAGCUGACUUAUAGAGCUGCUGUUCAAGGGACUAGUCAUAAUCAUAUGGAGAGUUCUAGGCCCGCUGGCAAGUUUGAGCAUCUCUACCGUCUCGGCUCUUCUGCGUUUAGGGGAGGAGAUGUUGAUUCUCAGCCUCGUGAUGUGGAUCAGAUGCUGUCGAGGAUCAGGCAGCAGCUCGCGGGGGCUCCUUCCGAGAGGCAAAGCUUGGUGAAGCCUUUUGUGAACAAGAGGAGCGAUCAGAAUCUCGAGGCUUUCUCCGAGCGUCUGAGAGCAGCUGGUGGAGAGAACAGCGUGGGGCCUGCGUGGAUCAGCGACGGUGUCCAGUUGAAAAUGACUCCGUUGAGUUCUUCCAGUUUUUCUCAGCUGAUACUUAAAAGAGCUAUGAAGGGGAAAGGCGUGGUUGGUAAACACCAGGAUGCUCCCCCUCCUGAGUUUGUUUGUGAGCAAGAUGGUGUUUGCAAGGAUAAAAAGUUGGAUAAUAGCAGCAAGUCGCCUGUUGCUCAAGAACCGAUCCCGAAAGGUAAUGGGAUUGUAUCGCAUGGUCAAGGGAUUCAUACUUCUAGUGGAAUCAGUUUGAGGGAGUUUAUUAGAUCGAGUUAUGGUAAACGAGAGAAACGACACAGCCUUUCUCUAUUUAGGCAGCUGGUGGAGCUGAUUGGCUCAGCUCAUUCGCAAGGAUUGUUUUUGCUGGAACUGAGACCAUCGCUUUUCGCUUUGGUCCCGUCGAAGAAACUUAGAUAUAAUGGUACUUUUGGAAAGAGCAAUGUAGAGUCGGAUGUUGACGAAGAUUUGAAUAGGAAGAGGCACGUGAUUCAGGAAUCAUCUGUUGUGGGUAGGGAUUUGAAGAAGAGAAGAAUGGACUUGAAUGCUCCAGGGAAUCAACUUCUUCAGGCAAUUUCGACUGGGAGACCUUGCAAAAGGAAAAGUCCCUUGAUUGAUUUAAACGUGGUUGAUGUACGUAAUCCAGACAGUUGUGAACUUCAACAGCAAAGCUAUAUGAAAAAUUUAGGCGUGCCUUCAGUGACGAGAAAACAGUCCAUGUCCACUUGGCUAGAAGAGCAAUGGUAUACUUGUCCAGAGGAAAUAAAUGGAGAAGAUAUCGGAGAAAAGUCGAAUAUAUAUGCUCUUGGUGUUCUUCUAUUUGAGGUAAGGACAUAUACUGGUUUUAUAAUUGUUGUGAUAUGAAUUUUAGUGCUUAUGUGUUUUACUUUCUUUCAUUUUCUGUCUGUGUGCUAGCGGUUUAGGCUUUGUGUAGUUUCCAUUUCAUUUGUCAGUCUUCUCGUAAUCGUGAAAUUGCUUAGUCUAGCUUGUCGUUUUGAACCCCGGAGCUAGUAUUUGCUGUGUAACUUGUCAGUCUUUAGUUUGCUUGUUUGACCCUUACAUGUGAAGAUGCUUACUGAUAGCUCUAGCUUGACCAUGGUUGUUUCAGCUUCUAUGCCAUUGUGAGUCCAGUGAGAUGCAUGCUGCAAUGAUGGCAGAUUUACGUCAUCGUAUUCUCCCACCAGCAUUUCUCUCAAGAUACCCAAAGGAAGCUGGAUUUUGUCUUUGGCUUCUACAUCCUGAGCCUUCCUCCCGACCAACAGCUAGGUAUAUAGAUGCUACUUGAAUAUAUAUAAGAUUUAUUCAAUUUUCAAAGAGUCUUGAGCCGUCUAUAAGAUUUCUUUGCUGGAUGCCUUCAACUUUAUUCAAUGGUUUCACUCAUUAUUGUGAAGAUUCACUGUCGUGGCACUGUGAUUAUCUUCUUGUUUCUUUUUAUAUUCUCAGUCGCUUCUUUUUCUUUGACAGAGAAAUACUGAAGUCUGAGUUGAUAUGUGUGGAGGAUUCAGUUAAAUCGACUGCGGCUGACGAGGAGAUAUCUGAGCUGUUACUUCAUUUUUUGUCUUCACUUGAAAAGCAGAAGAAGAAAAAUGCAUCUAAGCUUUUGCAAGACAUCCAAACCUUGGAGGAUGAUAUCAAAGAGGCCGAGCGAAGAUAUUCUUCAAAAUCAUCGCUGGUGAGAUCUCAUGAAAUUAUUGAAAGCAAAGUGCAAUCAUCUCCCAUAGGCGAGCGCUGUACAACUGCUUCUGGCGCCUUGUUUGUACCAACUGCUAAUACAGACAGGCUGAUGAGUAAUAUUCGUCAACUUGAAGAGGCAUAUUUCUUCAUGAGGUCACAAAUGAAGUUAUCGGAUUCUGCGGCUAGUGCCCGUUCUGACAAAAGCCUUCUAAAGGACAAGGACAAGUGGUCUGAAAACCAAAAUAAGGAUCAGGAUGCGAGAACCAAAGGAAAAUCGUCGGAUCAACUGGAAGUGUUUUUCGAGGGGUUGUGCAAAUUUGCUCGGUAUAGCAAGUUCGAAACCUGUGGAACAAUCAGAAGUGGAGACCUUUUAAACUCCGCCAGUGUGGUCUGCUCAUUGAGUUUCGACCCUGAUGAGGAACACAUAGCAGCUGCUGGGAUAUCAAAGAAAAUCAAGAUUUUUGACUUCAACGCAUUUAUGAAUGAAUCUGUCGGUGUUCAUUAUCCACUAGUGGAGAUGGUCAACAAAUCGAAAUUAAGCUGCGUUUGCUGGAAUAGUUACAUCAAAAACUACUUGGCCUCUACUGACUAUGAUGGUGUAGUCCAGGUGCGUAUGGAAAUUUAUGGUUUCUCCUGUCUAUGUUACGCGGUAGGAUCUAUAGGACUAAGCUCAUGUACUCUUUAUAAAUGUUAAUCAUGUGAUAAUAUUAGAUAAAGAGCUGUCUGAGUAACCGUGAAAAUGCAUUGGUCCUGGUUUUUAGCUGACAUUUUCUUACUGUGUGGUGAAUGCAGAUAUGGGAUGCUGGGACUGGACAAGGAUUUUCCCAAUACACAGAACACCAGAAGAGAGCCUGGUCAGUUGAUUUUUCUCCAUCUGACCCUACAAAAUUUGUCAGUGGAAGUGAUGACUGUUCAGUAAAGCUUUGGAGCGUCAAUGAGGUACGGUUCUUUCCCUUAGAUCUCAUAAUACUGCUAGAAUUUUUAUUUUUAUGUCCAAAUUAUAAUAUAGCUCCAGAAAGUAAUGGAACUUUAUGACUAUCCAAAAAGUAAAAUUAUAUUCUUUUCUGGUGGCUUUGCAGAAACGGUCAUUAGGAACAAUCUGGAGUCCAGCAAAUGUGUGUUGCGUGCAAUUCUCUGCAUAUUCCAAUCAUUUACUGGCAUUUGGGUCAGCUGAUUACAAGGUCUAUUGCUAUGAUCUUCGUUACGUCAAAACUCCUUGGUGCACAUUGGCUGGCCACGAGAAAGCUGUUAGCUACGUUAAAUUUAUGGAUUCAGAGACCAUCGUCACUGCUUCCACUGAUAACUCUCUCAAGCUUUGGAAUCUCAACAAGACAAAUUCCACUGGUUUGUCUACUGGUGCUUGUUCAAUGACGUAUAAAGGACAUACAAAUCAAAAGGUUACUCCUAAAAACUUUAUUCUAUUUUACCUUAACUUUCUCCUUUAUUAAGUUAGUUCUGAUGUCUAAAUCUUUUACCGGAAUACAGAACUUUGUCGGAUUAUCGGUCUUGGAUGGAUACAUAGCCUGUGGUUCAGAGACCAAUGAGGUAUUUAUUACAUUAUCAUAACACACAGCCUGUAGGAUACUUAAUGGUUUGCCUCUCAACUUAUUAAAAAAACGUUUUCUACUUGGAUGUUGUUUCCUUUUCAGGUAUAUAGUUACUAUAGAUCCUUACCGAUGCCAAUGACUUCAUACAAGUUUGGAUCGGUGGAUCCCAUAUCUGGGAACGAAUACUUUGAUGACAAUGGACAGUUUGUGUCGAGCGUCUGUUGGAGAAAAAAAUCGAAUAUGCUUGUAGCUGCGAAUUCUACCGGAAACAUGAAGCUACUAAAACUGGUUUGACAUUUGUGGGCGAGUGAGUUCUUUUGGAAAACAAAUCUCUCAAGUCUGUAUCUAAGACAACAGUUUGACUUGAACCUACGUUUUUGUCCUGGAAACGUUGAUCCCUAUAUGACCGUGACAGGUUAUGGUUGGCAACCAAAUCUCAGAGAAGUUGAAGCAAAAAAAAAGCUGUCUAUGUCUUUGAUAAUAUAUGAUUCUUCUUCAUAUGUAACUGUAUAUGAGAUGAAAGUUCUCAGAUUCUUCGGAAAGUGACUCAGAUUUGGUCUUGCACAAACAAGUUCGGCUCAAUGUGUAAUGAUUAGAGGUAUAUAAUCUGUACAAGUGUGUUCGCAUAGCUUAUUUAUGUAAUUGUUGUUGUUGGAUAUUACUGCUAGAGAUAAUAAAGCGAGAAAAGAGGUCUCUGAUUUAUUAUUUCUCUGUUGAUUAAAUCAUUCAUUCAUGGUUACUUUCUCGUUUUCAUUUCAUAAUUUCAUCAAUUUAUUUAGUAAUGCUAUCUGAAAAAAACAAUUUACAAUCCACUUACCAAACGUAAGUCUUAUGUUUUUAUGGCUGAAGUAGAUGACACUCGCAAGCUACACUAUAUUGCACUCACAAAAAAAGUUGUUUAAUGUUAUUUUCUGAGACCACGAAAUUGUGAGAAAUCAUAAUUCAAUAUUUCCAAAUACUGAUGAUAGAAACGGUAAGGACAUUGUCUUAACUUCUGCAAGAAUUGUAAAGAGUUUCUAAAUAUAGAGAAAGUUGAGAGAAUCGAAUUGAUUUGUGACUUCAUCUCCAUGUGCAUACGAUGUUUGGUAGUGUGAUCAAGUCCCUAGAAAAACAAGUGUACUAGAGUAUGGCGUUGAUGAGGUGCACAUGGGUUUUGGAUUGCCUUCGUCAUUUUCCCAAUGAUUGUUACAAUUCAUUCAAAACCAAAAAUAUAUAUAUAUCGUUAAAAUCAUAAUUUUGGUUUGCAAUUUAGACAAAAAAAAACAUUAGAAUAGAAAAUCACAUCCUCUUGUUGGCUUUCCAAAAACUCAAAACAUUAUUCUUUCCUUGGAAGCAAAAUCUUACAACCAUUUGGUCCUAUCCAUCUCUUGCAAGUCAUGUUUCACAUUAGCCAGGUAAGAAUCUUUUGAAUGUUCCUCUUGCAACAAGUCCGGACGAACAAAAAUAAAGAAGAGGAUGGCUUUGUGGAUUCAAUAGAAAACGAAACAGCAUAAAUUCGACAGUGAAUUGGCAUAAUAUCAUUUUGGACACUUGUUCAUCAUGACACUAGCAGUUGUAUCUUUAACCUUUGUUCUGAUGUAUCUAUAUACAUUAUAUUAUUUAUCUUGCAAAAUACGUGACCAAACAUUGGUAAUAGAAUUGGAACCAUAAGAGGCAGGUUGGGUUAACAGGGCACAUGGCUGCUUGACAAGUCCGUUACUGCAUCCUUUUCAUUGUCCCUCUAUUUCAAGCUCUUUGUGCUAAUCGUUAAUUUCUUUCUCUAAUAAGAAAAUAAAUAUACCAUGAUUUAUUGUCUUGAAAUGAUUUAUUGUCUCUUUCACAACUUCACAUCUUAUGCAUCUACGUUCAUUACCCAGAUGUUGGUAUGUAAAACACUGAUUUAUAGGCCACAUAUUAUGAAAAAGCUUACGAGAUAUAAUGUUUACUCGUCAUAUAUAAAUCUAUAGACGGUAGAAAAAAAUAAGAAAAUACUAUGCAACUAUGCCAAGUUAAAGUUGCCCACUAAUUACAUUCACUAAUUAAACUCUCUGUUUUUUAAUAUUUUAUUUUUAGAAUAACGAAUAUUAGUCUAUAAAAUUAAUACGCAAAUGUGUUUGUCUCCACACCCUUCAAAUUCAAGUACCAAUUAGAAAAUCUAGUCGAGUAUCAUGAUUGAAUAAGUCAGAGGGGCAUGGGUCAUUCAACUAUUCACCUCACAUGUUGUGUGUAUCUUUCCUUCUGUAACUGUAUCACAUGUUGUAUGAAGCUUUUUGUAUGUUUUUAGUUACCCUUGAAAAAAUACUUCAGAACGUUUCACGAUUUUCAAAUUCGAAUUUUCUAAGUUUUUGAAAAGGUAAUAACCCAACAUUAUUUCCAACUGCAACAUGCAUGUUCGCCUAAUAUUUAAAAGAUUACUAUAUCUGAAACAUAUAAAAUGAUUGAUGUUAAUGAUCCAACGGCUAAUACCUCUAACGAGUUUGUCAAAUAGUCACCUAAUAAAGAUUACACCAAUCAUUAAACAAUAAUUAUAAUUUUACAGCAGAUUAUUCAUAUUUUACAUUCAACAGCCGACGUACUCCAAAUUAAAAUAAGCCAAGUAUAAUCAUAUACUCGUCAAAAUAAUUAUAAAUUAUGUGGCAUAGAGUGACAUUGUAAGUUGAUAAAAGAAACUCGCUAAAAUGAUUCAAACAAUUAUAUCAAUGCCAAGUAAACCGAGCUUAACUAAUUUUUAUGUUUAUGUAAACUGAAACUACCUUAUGAGCAAUCUACCUAAACAAUUAAACAUUGAUGAAUGAAGCGUUAAUCAAAGCUGAUCACCACCUACUAGCCGUUAAAUUAAUCAAGAAAAAAGGAAAAACAACGUUGCAUAGAAAGAGAAUCGAAUCAUCGGUUAAAAAGCAAAGAAACAAAGAAAUUGGAGACACUGGUGGAGUCAUGACCUAUUAUAGGUCCAGUUUGGCUGCCAAUCUGUCAUUCCGCCCCACCACUACACUAACAAAAAGAGAUACUUUUAUUAUUAUUUAAACAAAAUAACUAACAAACAAAAAAUUACAGAAAAAAGAUAUAAUCACAUCACAUCAGCGGAGAGAGAAAGAGAGAGAGAAAGAGAGAGAGAAAGCAAUUUCCAGAGGGCUCGGCGGUCGGCCGGCGCGUGAGCGUCCGUGCCGCCGCCGGAGCUCGUGUUUCUUUCAGAUAAAAUUACCAGGAUCCGGCCUUCUCCUCGUUUCUGCCGGUUCCCGCCUGUCCGAUCUCUGGUCUGCCACCAACCGCUUUGGUUCUGGUCCUGGAGUAACGACGCGGUGGCUGUGUAGAUGACGCGGAGAAGACCUUAGUUGUUGUCGGAAUAAUAUCUCCGGGAGGCGGAGGCUAUCGCAGAUCCGUCGCCGCCGGUCUUUUGUCUCCGUGGCGGGGAAACUCCUUCAGGUCCGCCGUCAUCGGAUCUAGUCUCCGGGGGGUGAAGGCUUCUUCAGCCUUGCGUCGCCGGCUCGUGGCCCUUAUUCUUUAGGGUUUUGUUUCUUUCUUUUCUUCGGUCGGGUUUUUUUGCUUGUUUCUGUGGGUUGGUGUGUUCGUCGGAGGAGAUGGAAGAGCUCCGGCGGAAAGAAUGAGGAUGCAUGCGAUUCCUCUGGCGGGUCCCGGUGGUUAAUGUUGAUGGAGGAGCUCUCGCUACGGCGAUUGAGCCUCUCCGGCUUGAGUGGCCCAAAGUUGGGUGAAAGUAAAGAGGAACGGAGCGAUGGAGCUCCGGUUUGGCCGGGUGGUCCGGUGGUUGGAUCUCCGGCGCCGACGAGUUGAGAUGGUAUGGCGCUAUCCUUGUGACACGUGUUUCUUCGCGGAGGAGGAUCGCGACACGUGUACAAGCGGCCAAAAGUGGGUUUAGUGAGGCGGCAGUAUGCCUUUCCGCCUGCUCCCUAGGGUUUUCUCGUGAUGGGUCCGUAGGGCUUAGCCCAUUAGAAAUUUGGGUGUCCUAUUUGUUGUUGGGCUUAUGUUAUAAUAUUGUACUGGGUUUGGCCCGUUUCUUUUAUAAUAUUAAAUCCCUUUGAUGGAAAAAAAAAA